Molecule: ribosomal RNA, 292 nt
Filed under: uncultured bacterium
Lineage: Bacteria
Description: partial 16S ribosomal RNA
Rfam family: Bacterial small subunit ribosomal RNA
Source: RNAcentral
GUGCCAGCAGCCGCGGUAAUACAGGGGGGGCAAGCGUUGUUCGGAAUUACUGGGCGUAAAGGGUCUGUAGGUGGCCAACUAAGUCAUACGUGAAAUCCCUCAGCUUAACUGGGGAACUGCGCCUGAUACUGGUUGGCUUGAGUGCAGGAGAGGAACGCGGAAUUCCAGGUGUAGCGGUGAAAUGCGUAGAUAUCUGGAGGAACACCGGUGGCGAAGGCGGCGUUCUGGACUGCAACUGACACUGAGAGACGAAAGCCAGGGGAGCAAACGGGAUUAGAAACCCUAGUAGUCC